Molecule: ribosomal RNA, 493 nt
Filed under: uncultured bacterium
Lineage: Bacteria
Description: partial 16S ribosomal RNA
Rfam family: Bacterial small subunit ribosomal RNA
Source: RNAcentral
AUUGAACGCUGGCGGCAUGCCUUACACAUGCAAGUCGAACGGUAACAGGUUAAGCUGACGAGUGGCGAACGGGUGAGUAAUAUAUCGGAACGUGCCCAGUCGUGGGGGAUAACGUAGCGAAAGCUACGCUAAUACCGCAUACGAUCUACGGAUGAAAGCGGGGGAUCGCAAGACCUCGCGCGAUUGGAGCGGCCGAUAUCAGAUUAGGUUGUUGGUGAGGUAAAAGCUCACCAAGCCUGCGAUCUGUAGCUGGUCUGAGAGGACGACCAGCCACACUGGAACUGAGACACGGUCCAGACUCCUACGGGAGGCAGCAGUGGGGAAUUUUGGGCAAUGGACGCAAGUCUGAUCCAGCAAUGCCGCGUGCAGGACGAAGGCCUUCGGGUUGUAAACUGCUUUUGUACGGAACGAAACGGUGAGCUCUAAUACAGUUUGCUAAUGACGGUACCGUAAGAAUAAGCACCGGCUAACUACGUGCCAGCAGCCGCUGUAA